Molecule: long non-coding RNA, 2909 nt
Filed under: Linum usitatissimum (flax)
Lineage: Eukaryota; Viridiplantae; Streptophyta; Magnoliopsida; Malpighiales; Linaceae
Description: long non-coding RNA (LUSI_LNC008217)
Source: RNAcentral
UUCCUGUUGCAUAUAUUUAAAGAAAAAACAGAGUUGCCAAGUUACAAACCAUUCUCAAUCUCUAACAACUACCGAUUCUAUAGGCAACCUAAUGCUUCGAACUAGCGACCAAUGUCGCCUAUAUCGUAUAGGAGAUCCAAGUUGGAUUCUUCCCGUUUCGUUUCAACGAAACAAGUAGAAAGUUUGAUUUCCCGACCGGACAGAACUUGGUACCUGAGUGAAAGAGGCAACAAGGGGAAGAGAUAAGGUCUCCUUAGAUGUGUAGGAAGGCUAGUGAUGUAGAACAUAUCUCCCCAAUCUAGCUUCUGCUCUUGAGAAACCACAAAGGCUUGUCCAAAACCUUCCAAAUCUCCACAUCUCUGCCAAAACUUCUUCUUCUCUUCCAUUGGAAUGCUGAACCACUCUUUAAUCUCCUUCUUCACUCUCUCCACCAAUGAAUCGCUCACCCCAUGGUUAACCAACUAAUAGCAAAACAAUUUUAUAAAACUGGUUAAAAAUUCAACAUCAAAAGUCACGAAAAUGAUUUUGAUCACAAAACAUGUACUACGUAUACGGACCUGGAAGAAGCCCCAAUCUUUGCAAGCGUCGUGGAGCCUAUCCAGCUCUUGAUCUGAAGAUAGUAGUUUCUCCAAAUCGACCAAAGGAACUUGAGCCGUAGAUUUGACAGUAGCAUCAUCGCGUGGUUCGUGACGGAUGAAACGGGGAGGAACGGAGGUUAGGAGUGGAUCCUUGGCCAGCUCCUGAACGCAUGGCACUGGCAGGGAGCCCCCCAGCUUGGUUAGCUCUUCCAUCUCAAGUUGUAAUUGUCUCUAAUCUAUGCUUUUUAGUUCCUCUUGUAUGUAUAAUGGCAUUAUGGCUCUGGAAAAAACAAAGCAAAAUGACAAAUUUUACCGCCAACGUCGGUUUAGCUGAAUCCCAAUUGCAAGAAGACAAAAGAAGCGAAAGGCUUAUCCUUUUAUCUACGUAUGACUCGUAUAGGGUAUUAAAAUUAUUCGGAAUCCGUUAUUGAUUACUAUAUUGCUCCGUUCAAUCGGGUAGGACGAUACUAAUUUGGCUAUAAAAAUCGAAUAUGUUGAGAUAUUUUGUGAAGAAAAAGAGACCAUCCAACAGCGUAAUAUAUGGAUAGUGUCGGCAGGGUUGAAUAUGAAUGACCCGUUAAAAAGACGUACAGUGAGCUCUGUUUCUAAGGAUAAUUCUUAGAGUUGAUCGUCAUGUCGCCGGCGAAGAAAACUGGAUUGGUUGGUCGGAGCCGUCAGCUGAGGCACCCACAUCAUUAUAUAACAUUUGUUCGUAUAAAAGUCCAAAUUUAUAUCAUUGAUAAGAUAACAACAACUUGAAAAGUAAUUUCGGAAGAAACCCCAAUCUUUGCAAGCGUCGUGGAGCCUAUCCAGCUCUUGAUCUGAGGAUAGUAGUUUCUCCAAAUCGACCAAAGGAACUUGAGCCGUAGAUUUGACAGUAGCAUCAUCGCGUGGUUCGUGACGGAUGAAACGGGGAGGAACGGAGGUUAGGAGUGGAUCCUUGGCCAGCUCCUGAACGCAUGGCACUGGCAGGGAGCCCCCCAGCUUGGUUUGCUCUUCCAUCUCAAGUUGUAAUUGUUUCUAAUCUUUGGUUUUUUUUUCCUCUAUGAAUAAUGUUUUGAUAACAUAAAGAUUGCACGUAUCACUAAUUAAUCGGUAUAGUUAUCCGCGCGAAAACUGUGAGCAAGCAAAGGAUUAUAUAACUUUACCAUUAAAAAACUUCAUUUCAAUUCGUACUUAAUUUAACUCGUUUAUUAAUAAUAUUUAUUGCCCACUUAUUAACACAAAACACGUGGGCCAAUAUUUUUAUGGCCAAUUUAUCUCGUUAUUAAUGGGUUUUAUGGCCCAUUUAGUGGUUGUGAAUCCUCAUGACAUCGACGUAAGACUUGCCAGUGAGCUCCCGUCCGAAAAAUCCUUUGAAGUAGUCUGUUACACUUAUCCUCUUAAACUGGGUUGGGGAGGUGGGAGUAAUUAGGCUCGGAGCUGGGCCCAAAUCUCCGUCUAACCUCGGGCUCAAGAAUGUGGCCACUGAGAUCCUCUCCUUUUUUGAGUUCACGGUAGCUCGAUGUUCGACGCUUUUGUAAACCCCGUUGCUCACAAUCUACACCAUAUAAAAAAAUGAACACACGUGUAACUAAGUGAAAGUCCAGUUUAACUUUUCACCUGUCAGAUCAAAUGUUAACUUUCCAUUUUACCUCCAAAAUGUCGCCCACAUUUACGAUUAACGCAUCCGGCAGAGGCGUAACGGGAACCCAAUAUCCAUCGUUCUUGACCUGUAACCCCGGCGUAUCGCUCGUCACUUGUAGCAGUAUUGUGAGCCCGACAGCGUCAGAGUGUGAGUUGAGACCCAUCACCAGCUCCGGCUGCGGGCACGGUGGAUAAUAGUUCAUUCGAAAUUGCUGCCACCCUUCUUCUCCAAACAACACGUUCAUGUCAGUUCGGUCCAUCCCUAGAGCUUCAGCCAUCAGGUUCAAAAUCUUCAUGGCCAAACUCUUCAGUGCUGCUGAAUAUUCUUCCAAUGUAUUCCUGUUGCAUAUAUUUAAAGAAAAAACAGAGUUGCCAAGUUACAAACCAUUCUCAAUCUCUAACAACUACCGAUUCUAUAGGCAACCUAAUGCUUCGAACUAGCGACCAAUGUCGCCUAUAUCGUAUAGGAGAUCCAAGUUGGAUUCUUCCCGUUUCGUUUCAACGAAACAAGUAGAAAGUUUGAUUUCCCGACCGGACAGAACUUGGUACCUGAGUGAAAGAGGCAACAAGGGGAAGAGAUAAGGUCUCCUUAGAUGUGUAGGAAGGCUAGUGAUGUAGAACAUGUCUCCCCAAUCAAGCUUUUGCUCUUCGGAUACCACAAAGGCUUGCCCAAAGCCUUCCAAAUCUCCAUAUCUCUGCCAAAAC